AGAUGAGAUUUCUUUUAAGGGUCGUAGGAGACUACUACGUUGAUAGGUCACAGGUGUAAAGGCAGUAAUGUCAUAGCCGAGUGAUACUAAUUACCCGUAGGUCUAUUGUG
This is a non-coding RNA of Flavobacteriaceae bacterium TMED68, 110 nucleotides long. Lineage: Bacteria; Pseudomonadati; Bacteroidota; Flavobacteriia; Flavobacteriales; Flavobacteriaceae. The record is from Rfam.